AAACGAUAUGCUUGAGUGCGUCCAAUGGUAUUAUGGCUUAUAAUGACGUCCAAGCCUGACCAUUGCCAUGUAGGGAAUCUCUCUACAUGACCUUAGGCCUCUGUUUAGCUUUUCUUUACAGUAUGGAGUGUUUUGCUUUUUGUGACAUUCAGGAAAAAACAUGCGUAACAUUGCUGCUCUUGGUGUUAAGGCAAGCACAUCUGUACAGUGUGCUAGGGUACAUCAUGUGCCCUGCCAGACGGACCCAUCAAAGAUGUGCACAGUUGGCACACAAACUCUACGACCUCACUACUAAAAGUACAGAGGCCAAGUAAGAGACCUCGCUUGGAGUUGAAGGAGGAAGAGGACAGCCCUUUUGAGGGAAGUUCAACGAUGGACUUUGGAGCGCCACAGGAUGCUACCUAGGAUCCUGAGGACAGCAGAUGUGACAAUGGAAUCUUCCAAGCCUGUUGAUAAGACACCACUGGAGCCGUUUGAGGUGUGCCCUGUGUGUCAGGUGGGUGUCAGAUGCGCGGACAAGAAGGGUUUGGACAUUCCUCUCUCUGGAACAGCAGUGCCCACACUGAGUUGUACAUAAAAUGGAAUAGUCAAUUCUUAUGUAAAGUAGUAUUUAUUGUUACACCAUGUUCUUUAUUGCUCUUAGCUUGACUGUUCUCUCCAUUGUACGUCGCUUUGGACAAAAGCGUCUGCUAAAUGACUAAAUGUAAAUGUAAACGUAGUCAGCCUAUUCUUGGGAGCACUCCUAUUUGGGAACAUCCAAUACUCAGCUGCAGUAUAUGCCACUGGUGCCUCUUUCUCCAAACUUUUUUUACUAAGUUUACUAAGAAAACAACAUAUCAUACAAUGACUUGUGAAAUGACAUAUACAGUAAGAAUCAGUGACAGAACCAGAAUAAGCACAUCUAAACAAUGACAUAAAAGAUUAUACACAAGAGUCUGUUGGACGGGUCAGUUUGGGGAAUGCAAGGUUUGAAGGAAGGGAGACAGUUGGGGUC
Long non-coding RNA from Clupea harengus (Atlantic herring), 994 nucleotides. NCBI's taxonomy places the organism in Eukaryota, Metazoa, Chordata, Actinopteri, Clupeiformes, Clupeidae. The record is from Ensembl.